AGAGUUUGAUCCUGGCUCAGGAUGAACGCUAGCUACAGGCUUAACACAUGCAAGUCGAGGGGCAGCACAGUGUAGCAAUACACGGGUGGCGACCGGCGCACGGGUGCGUAACGCGUAUCCAACCUUCCCGUUACUCUUGGAUAGCCUUCCGAAAGGGAGAUUAAUACAAGAUGGUAUUCAAAUUCCGCAUGUUAUUUGAAUUAAAGAUUUAUCGGUAACGGAUGGGGAUGCGUGACAUUAGAUAGUAGGCGGGGUAACGGCCCACCUAGUCUACGAUGUCUAGGGGUUCUGAGAGGAAGGUCCCCCACACUGGAACUGAGACACGGUCCAGACUCCUACGGGAGGCAGCAGUGAGGAAUAUUGGUCAAUGGUCGGAAGACUGAACCAGCCAAGUAGCGUGAAGGAUGAAGGUUCUAUGGAUUGUAAACUUCUUUUAUACGGGAAUAAAACCUCCCACGUGUGGGAGCUUGUAUGUACCGUAUGAAUAAGCAUCGGCUAACUCCGUGCCAGCAGCCGCGGUAAUACGGAGGAUCCGAGCGUUAUCCGGAUUUAUUGGGUUUAAAGGGAGCGUAGGCGGAUUAUUAAGUCAGUUGUGAAAGUUUGCGGCUCAACCGUAAAAUUGCAGUUGAUACUGGUAGUCUUGAGUGCAGCAGAGGUAGGCGGAAUUCGUGGUGUAGCGGUGAAAUGCUUAGAUAUCACGAAGAACUCCGAUUGCGAAGGCAGCUUACUGGACUGUAACUGACGCUGAUGCUCGAAAGUGUGGGUAUCAAACAGGAUUAGAUACCCUGGUAGUCCACACAGUAAACGAUGAAUACUCGCUGUUUGCGAUAUACAGCAAGCGGCCAAGCGAAAGCAUUAAGUAUUCCACCUGGGGAGUACGCCGGCAACGGUGAAACUCAAAGGAAUUGACGGGGGCCCGCACAAGCGGAGGAACAUGUGGUUUAAUUCGAUGAUACGCGAGGAACCUUACCCGGGCUUGACAUCCCUCUGCAAGCUCUAGAGAUAGAGACCUCCCUUCGGGGACAGAGGUGACAGGUGGUGCAUGGUUGUCGUCAGCUCGUGUCGUGAGAUGUUGGGUUAAGUCCCGCAACGAGCGCAACCCUUAUCUUUAGUAGCCAGCGGUCCGGCCGGGCACUCUAGAGAGACUGCCAGGGAUAACCUGGAGGAAGGUGGGGAUGACGUCAAAUCAUCAUGCCCCUUAUGAUCAGGGCUACACACGUGCUACAAUGGCGUAAACAAAGGGAAGCAGAGCCGCGAGGCCGAGCAAAUCUCAAAAAUAACGUCUCAGUUCGGAUUGUAGUCUGCAACUCGACUACAUGAAGCUGGAAUCGCUAGUAAUCGCGAAUCAGAAUGUCGCGGUGAAUACGUUCCCGGGUCUUGUACACACCGCCCGU
Molecule: ribosomal RNA, 1394 nt
Filed under: uncultured bacterium
Lineage: Bacteria
Description: partial 16S ribosomal RNA
Rfam family: Bacterial small subunit ribosomal RNA
Source: RNAcentral